Molecule: non-coding RNA, 782 nt
Organism: Pimephales promelas (fathead minnow)
Lineage: Eukaryota; Metazoa; Chordata; Actinopteri; Cypriniformes; Leuciscidae
Source: RefSeq, a predicted model, not a curated record
AACCCAUCUGAAGGCGACUGUGAUUCAUAUACAUUACAUUCAGCUAAAUUUCCUCUAAGUUUUUUACCAUAACUGUAUUUGAAGAAACCAUUCUUCCGUGCAUAAGAAGAAUGCCGAAUGUGGUGACGGAGGCGAUUAUUGAGUCUUAUGCGCUCAUGUUUUUGGUGAUGUCAGCGUUUUUUGUAUACUUUUGUGGCAUGGUCUGGGCAUUCUGCAACCCUAAACUCAGUAGCUUCGCUGAAGAAACCGAGUGCGACACGUGGAGUUUUUCACAAGUCCCUCUGCAACAAAUAUUUGCAGAUCCUGAGGUUGUGGAGACACAUACAACACACCACAUUUGACCAGCUCCGAAUGUCUGGAUCACUCGAGGUACAUCGCUUCGGGCUAUAGGCUAUUGUGGAUUCAUAUUUUGAAGUUUAUAGAAAACAGCACCAAAUUUGCUCCAGUCUCAUCAUGCCUGAAUGUAGCCUACCUGAACAUUGCAAGCGUACUGUAACCAGAGAACUCCAGCUACAACACAGAGGGAAGUGCUUCUCUGAUCUUCGUCGCCAUGGCAACCCAUCAAUACCUGCAACCCCACAUUGCUAACUCAUCCUGAGAAAUAGAGAAUUUACACACUCUGAAAGUACACACUGUAUUUUUUUUCUCCUGUUUUCCACACUUGUUCAAUACAGAAUUUGUUCUACUUUGUUAAUUUUUAUUUUUCAUGCUCAUAUAAAUGCUUUGGCAAUACUAAAAUACUGUACAAUUUGUCAUGCCAAUAAAUCUCAUUUGAAUUACAA